CGCAGCUGGGCGUCGCCGGCCGCGCUGGGGUUUUUGCUACAAUCCAGUAGACUUGGGAAGUUUCUAAAUACUUGAAGUUGGUUAGUUCGAACUUUCAAGAAAAGGAAACAGUUAAAAACAGAGCUUGACAGGUCACCCAGGUGACCCGGUGUGUUAGGGGCAGUUUCAAAGACUGAUGUGAGGAGUAGUGGAAAGGGGUCAGUGAGUGAUACGGUCAUUGUGAAGCAUUGGCUGGACAGUUCUUUACAGCCCCCCUGCACAGCUGCAGGCUGUGAGGUAUGUGGUCAAGAAAUGGAGAUAAAGCUGUUUCUGAGUUCAAACACAGUAGGAAGGCUGCGAAAUGGCUGGCAUUGCCCGGCUGUGUUUGCAUCCUCUCUCUGCCAUUUGAGGGCAGUGGAUUCAGCAUGCAUCUUUGAAAUAUAUCCCAGCUUGUCAGAGGUAAGUGCCUGUUUUGAUGGAAGGAGAGUGGGGAAUGCAUUACGGGGGAAAUGUAGCAAAAGGCAAGCAGCUCUGAGUUCUGCAUCCUACUUUCAAUGAUAUCUCAAAGGGCUUGUGAAUCAAGGUACUGCUCUCUUGUAGACAUCUUGAAAAAUGAAAGAAUUCUAACGUAUUAUGGACUUUACCGUUUAUUUAACAACAGUUUAGAUACUUUAUGGUUCUAUUUGUUAGAUCCCCCUUUUAACUUUUUGAAAAUUUCCAACAUAUAUAACAUGGAGAGGGUAUUAGAAUAGUGUUCCAAGGACUCACAUACCCAUCACCCAGCUUCAACAACUGCCAACUGAUGUUAAGUAAAUAAGCCAGGAACAGAAAGAAAAAUAUCACAUGUUCUCACUCGUAUGUGGGAACUGAAAAAGUUGAUCAUAUGGAGUUGGAGUGUAGAAUGAUAGUUACCAGAGGCUGGGAAGUGGAGGGAGAUGAAGUGAGAUUGGUUAAAGGGCACAAAGGCACAAGUUAGAUAGAGGGAAUAAGUUCUAGUGUCAGAUAGCACAGUAGCCUAAUUCGAGUUAACAAUAAUGUAUUGUACAUUUCAAAAUAGCUAGAAGAAAGGAUUUGAAAUGUUCCCAACACAAAGAAGUGAUAAAUGUUUGAAGUAAUAGAUAUCCCAAUUAUUCUAAUUUGACCACUACAUAUUAUAUGCAUGUAUCAAAAUAUCACAUGUACCUCAUAAAUAUGUACAAUUAUUAUAUAUCAAUAAAAAUAAUAAUAACUUUUUAAAAAACAGUUACCAACUGAGAAUCUUGUUUCCUGUAAAGCCCUAGUCACUUCCCCACCUCUCACCCUGAUUAUUUUUUGGCCCAUCCCUUAUAUUAUAUUAUUUCAUAUUUUAUUGUCUAUAAAUAUUUCACUAUAUACCUCUA
RNAcentral lists this long non-coding RNA (1358 nucleotides) under Homo sapiens (human). RNAcentral's name for it is "HSALNT0106270". The record is from RNAcentral. Lineage: Eukaryota; Metazoa; Chordata; Mammalia; Primates; Hominidae.